Molecule: long non-coding RNA, 1146 nt
Organism: Patiria miniata (bat star)
Lineage: Eukaryota; Metazoa; Echinodermata; Asteroidea; Valvatida; Asterinidae
Exons: 3
Source: RefSeq, a predicted model, not a curated record
GGUCUCAUCUGACUCGUGUCUCGGAGAAACUCAGUCACCACAAAGCCUCAAAUUUCACCUCCUACAAUCAAAACCAGGGCUGUCUGUGGAGCAGCAACCUGCACUCAGCUUGGGGGAAAGAUCUUCAAUGCCCGGCCUGGCUUAACUGUGAACAUGGUUGCUCUUUUCCCUGAUUUCCCGUGUUCCCGGAAUUUAGCAAGGAAGCCAAGCUUAACUGAAAUCAUGUCCGAGGUGACGCAAAAGCGUUUUAGAGAAACGGGCCGCAGGUUACAACGUUUUUUCUCGGUGUCAUUCAGUGGCUGAGCUGGGGAGACAAUUCCACCGGACCCAUGGCCAGGAGAUCCUACUCACAAUUGUAGGCACAUCUGAUAGGGAAAUAAAAGUUGACAAUCGGCCAACAGCAAUUAUCAACUAUUUGCGGCACAUGUAUAACUAGUAAUUCAGGCUUUUCUAAGACUUGUUGCUAAACACUUUUUUUCCAAGCUACACAACUACAUGUACAUGUAUCAUCAAAUUUUACCAUGAGAACUUAAGAUAUAAGUAUGAUCAAUUAGUGGAACAAAAUUGAGACUGAACUGAUUCAACUGCGUCAAAGUUACUUUACUUUAAUACAGCCCGUCAGAAAAGCAUGUGAAAUAGUAUGGACUUUUCUUCCUAUAUUUAAACAAAACUACUUACAAUAAUGAAAAUAAAACAAACAAUAACUGCAGUGGUGUGCUCAGAGAAAAAAACUAUUGAAAUCAAGAGCUCCUCUAGGUUUUUGUCAAUUAUAUUCAACAUUUCAUUAAAAAAAGAUCUUUAAAAUAUCUGAAAAUUACAUUGAAUUUUUAUGUCCCCAACUGAGCUAAGCAGUGGAAGUAUGUAGUGAUAAUGUUCAUUCGAAUUUAAUUUCCUUUAAGACGGCGAGAGAAACCCAUGUAUAUUCAACGUGGAAAAUAGAUAGCCAAAGCCAGACAAACUGAGAAACAGGUUUUUUUUCCAGAAAGAAAUAUGAGAUGCAGAGAACUGGGUUAAUUAAAGGGGGGGGGUUGAGUUGGUAUGUACACAUACGCUUUAACUAAGGAAGAAGCUCUUAGAUGCCCGCGCCCAAGACACGAAGGCCUGCAAUAAAAUGAAGGCCAGAGUCAACAUUGGCUAUAACAGCAA